RNAcentral lists this long non-coding RNA (4074 nucleotides) under Mus musculus (house mouse). RNAcentral describes it as "long non-coding RNA chr11:64492661-64496735". Lineage: Eukaryota; Metazoa; Chordata; Mammalia; Rodentia; Muridae. The record is from RNAcentral.
UUUUUUUUUUUUGUUUGUUUUUUUUUUUGUUUUUUUUAUCAAGUACAAAUGGGAAAUGAAUUCAAGUAAUGUAAACAGAAUUUUGUAGUGGUCUUUUAAGGGCUGUGUUUCUAGAGAUCGUUGUGGGAAGCCAAGCUGGCUUUGUGACCUACAAUAUUUCCUGCAGUGAGCUAACUUGGGAGCAUUUAUCAAAAAAAGUCACAGGACACUAUGCACAUAGGCUUGAAAUCUAGCUAAAGAUGGAUUAUUGCUAUUGCGGUUUGUUUAAUGAAUAAAAAUCAAUGUCUAUGAAUGAGGUCUUCUUUAGGAUGGGUGGUCCUCAUUGUUAGAAAAUGGUCUUGGGAAAAUUAUUUUAAGUCCCCAUGAGGAAGCCCUUUUCUAUCCUGAAUGAGUAAGCUGCCCAUUUCUCUCCUAAAAAUGAGAGCGGAGAGAGUGGAUUUUAUACGAUAGAUUGACAUUAUGAUAUGAUUGAUUUUGCUGUACCAUGGGACAAACAAUUCAUUCUCUGCCUAACAAAUAUCAGGUGCUACUUGCACAAGGAAACCACCUACAUAGAAAUGAAAUAUUUUUUUAAGGGAGUGGCUGUCAAAAGUUCUGUGUUCUGGAAUUCUACAUACUUUAUUGCUCUGGGUAGCUCAUUAUUCUCUAAGGAUUGGCAGUUUCCUUUAUUGGAGUGUGCAAACCAAUAGGCAUGUGUAGGUGGGGGCACCUACAAUGGCUGUGGCUAUUGAUACUGGAUUCAGUGCAUUUUAGCUUUCCUCCCCAGACUCACCCCAUUUUGAAGUCCAGUGUCAACCCUAUACCAUGACACAUAUCCUGUUCUUCGCAUUUCCAUUCUUCAGUGUAUGGCUUUGUCCCUGAAACAUCUGUUUUCUUUUUUCUACCCUCAUACGCUUACCUAUCCAUCAAAGCCAAACUCCAAGACUACUCCCAUCAUGUUCCCGAUUUCUGCUUGCUCGGUAGUUAGAUUCAGCCCCACCUCUCAGCUCAUUGUCUGUUACUAUUUGGUUUUUCUGAGCAACAAAUUCUGCAAGUGCAAAAUGUGACUCAGAGAGAGGUGUCUGUAAAGGAGAAGGACGGUAAGAACGACUGCUCAGACUGCCAAUCAGACAGUUCCUGUCAGCCCCAUGUGCUAUGCUUUCUAAUACAGAUGCCUCAUCACAAAUAUCUGGCACUGUGCUAAUCUUGGAUGCAGCUACCUUAUUCUGUCACUGAUGGACUCCCAUCUGGAGUUAAGCAUAUGCUGAGGUGACCCCAAGGGCUCCAAUGGCAGGUGCCUGUCAGCUGACCGUAUUUCAUCCAGGAAUAUAGCAACUCCUCUCUCAAAGGAUGAGCUGGAGGGUUCAUCACUAGAUUUACCUCACUGGUUUUGUGGCCCAUAGGUUUAGAAUGUUCGAUGAUGAAAGGACUUGGUUGCACUGUUGUUUUGCACGUGUGGAAACAGAGGCCUCAUGCUGGGACUCAAGCUCCUUGCUUUGGAGGAUCUGAUCCACACUGAACUGAACUUCGCAUCAAAUCCUAGCGGCCAACUCAACCUUCCCCACCUCUACUCUGUUACCAAUAGCAUGUGUCAGUGUCCAUUUUUCUAACUACCCCUAUGCACUGCUUCUUCCCUGGUCACCAAGGGGCAUAGGUACUGGAUAAGAAAACAAGAAAACCCUUUAAAGCCUGACUAGGUCCUUGAGCUCCUCUUAGACACUAAAAACAGUGUUUAUUGCCACGAAAUAGUUGAAUUUUGUUACUUGAAAUCCACACAGUUACAGAUAAUGAAGGGGAGCAAGGGGUGGACUGGAGGGACUGGAGGGACUGGAGGUGGUCUGUAAAGAUGUUUUAGUAAAAGAAAGAAGAUCAGUGAGCAGAUUAGGAGUAAACCAAAGCAUCUUUCUCCCUCUCUGUUCUCAGGAAAGAAACUUCAGGGCAUUUCCAAAGUCCCUGUGUGUGCCUUGUGGUGGAACCAUCCUCCUGCUCUUGGGGGAGGGAGCUGCCUCCCAGGGGCCUGGACCACUUGAGUGGUGACUGGUAAUGCCUUAAUUACCAGGCCCAGAGCAGGUGAUGUCUGGCUGCGGGUCCUCAGGGCUACUGAUUACUCAACUCCCCCUCUACAAGGAAACACUUUCCACAUCAAUAAUUAAACAGAACAAUUAGAGCGAUUUAAAAAGUAUAAUUAGGCAGAAUCAACUCUGUGUCCCUGGAGCAUCCUUGCUUUCUCUUCCUCAUGUUUCAUGCCCUCCCUCAUCUUUCUUUAGAGCAUCAUUUUGGGAAUCCAGCAGGCCCCUGUUCUGAAUCUUUAAACCCCAGUGGGGCAGGGGAGAAUCCAUUUACAAGCACAAAGGUGAGGGAUAGAAGGUAAGGACAGACACAGACCAUCUGUUCUCUGUUCCUGACACACUGUUUCUGACACACACACAGUCUUGGUUCAUGGGGUACAGAGGGAAGAUGCAGAAUGAACAUGGGGCUGGCAUCUGUGGCCAGGAUCGAGGAAUCCCUGGCAUAGGGUCCCCUGUCCCUAGAAUGGUGACAGAUGCUAUGUGUGACUUCUUGAUGGGAGACCAUAGAUCAAAGAUGUGAGGUCCCCCUACCUACUUCUCUGAAUUUAUCUGUACCCUGUGCUGGAAAGAGUCCAUUGUUUCAAAUUUAUUUAUAUCUUAAAGAAAUGACUGUCUUAGCCUAGUUUUUGUUGGUAUCACAAAAUAAGUAGAGCCUGGGGUUAUAAAGAAAGCGUUUAUAAAGAAAGCAUGGUUCUGGUGGCUCCAGGUCCAAUUAGUAAGGCUGGCAUCCUGGUAAGGGUGUUCUAGGUUGUUUCACAACGUGGUAGAGAAAAUUGCCAUGUGCAGAAGGAGCCAACCAUGCUGGUCAUCUGGCUUUACAACAGCUCCUCUAGGAAGAGCUCUCACCCCUGGAAGACUCCCUUGGGUCAACACUGAUGCAGUUGUGAAGUUGGGACUUCUUAACCACUCACUGGGUCCCACCUCCUAAAGAAGCCACUAUACUGGGGAUCAAGCAGCCAGUUGUGAAUACCUAGGGAUAAACACUUCCAAUCCAUAGCUUGACCCAACCCCAAAUAUGAAAACAGUGAGAAUUGGCGAUGCCUCCCAGCUCAGUGUAGAGAUUUAAAUUUUAUAGUUUGUGUGUCUGCUCUUCUCUGAGAUCCCAGGAUAAAAACUGAACCAACGGUUAUCAACAAAGAAAAUGUACUGUCUGUCAUGAAGCAGACUGUCAUUGUCCACAGGUCAAAGAUCUCUCUCAGUUAGCAUUCAGAGAAGGCUGUGCAGAAGAACUGCAAUCAAUCUAGGAGCCAAGAAUGGAAUGCCUCUCCUACGAGAGAUGGUGAGAAGCAGCCAGAGGCUCACAUACCAGGGCCCAAGGGACAGCAGGCUGCAGUGCAGUGACCAGGUCAGAUCUGAGACCACUCAGUGAAGACAGAAGGGCCAGGGCAAGUCAGUGGCACUCAGACCUGCAGAUGACAAUCUCAGGGUCCACGAGGUCCAAGGGGCUGACCUCAGACCCUUCCUGGAGGUCACAUAAAGGGCAGCCAACCUCUCCACUCUGCUCUAACUUCCUUCUUGGCAUACUAUUUCCUGCACCCACUCCCUACUUCCUCCCCACGGGAUAUUUAUCUGACUUUCAGCUUGACAAAGGAAAUCAUAGAAAAGAAAGUAAUAUUUCUCUUCUCUUCAACCCUGGACAGAUGUCACAAGAAGUCAAGGUGGGGGGUAGGGCAAAGAAGAAUCUCUUUUAGGGCUAAAUAUAGGCAACUAUAGAUUCACCUCUGGUGGCCUUAGAGGUCAGGAGGGAGAAACCUGAUCAGACGUAAGGCUGUGUCUUUCAAAGGACAGGCUCAGUUGGAGGAGACAGAGUGAGAAUGUCAUUCUUUUGUGUCCUUCUGUGAUGCACAAUUAAAGCAUAAAAUGAGUGACAAAAUAUCCGAUUUAUUUUCUCUAGAGUUCAAGCAGCAAUUUAAAAGAUGUACUGGACAUCAGGAAUAAUGAAAAUGCCCCACAAGUCUCCUGAUUCUAAAAGAAAAUAUUUGAUCAAAAGAUAUGGAGAAAAAUAAGCAAAAAAUCAGAACAAAAC